UGUGUGUUAGUGGAAGCGUCUGGAAAGGCGCGCGAUACAGGGUGACAGCCCCGUACACAAAAAUGCACAUGCUGUGAGCUCGAUGAGUAGGGCGGGACACGUGGUAUCCUGUCUGAAUAUGGGGGGACCAUCCUCCAAGGCUAAAUACUCCUGACUGACCGAUAGUGAACCAGUACCGUGAGGGAAAGGCGAAAAGAACCCCGGCGAGGGGAGUGAAAAAGAACCUGAAACCGUGUACGUACAAGCAGUGGGAGCACGCUUAGGCGUGUGACUGCGUACCUUUUGUAUAAUGGGUCAGCGACUUAUAUUCUGUAGCAAGGUUAACCGAAUAGGGGAGCCGAAGGGAAACCGAGUCUUAACUGGGCGUUAAGUUGCAGGGUAUAGACCCGAAACCCGGUGAUCUAGCCAUGGGCAGGUUGAAGGUUGGGUAACACUAACUGGAGGACCGAACCGACUAAUGUUGAAAAAUUAGCGGAUGACUUGUGGCUGGGGGUGAAAGGCCAAUCAAACCGGGAGAUAGCUGGUUCUCCCCGAAAGCUAUUUAGGUAGCGCCUCGUGAAUUCAUCUCCGGGGGUAGAGCACUGUUUCGGCAAGGGGGUCAUCCCGACUUACCAACCCGAUGCAAACUGCGAAUACCGGAGAAUGUUAUCACGGGAGACACACGGCGGGUGCUAACGUCCGUCGUGAAGAGGGAAACAACCCAGACCGCCAGCUAAGGUCCCAAAGUCAUGGUUAAGUGGGAAACGAUGUGGGAAGGCCCAGACAGCCAGGAUGUUGGCUUAGAAGCAGCCAUCAUUUAAAGAAAGCGUAAUAGCUCACUGGUCGAGUCGGCCUGCGCGGAAGAUGUAACGGGGCUAAACCAUG
RNAcentral lists this ribosomal RNA (864 nucleotides) under Escherichia coli. Its description in RNAcentral is "partial 23S ribosomal RNA". It matches the Rfam family "Bacterial large subunit ribosomal RNA", at positions 323 to 1191 of the family's 2925-position model. Lineage: Bacteria; Pseudomonadati; Pseudomonadota; Gammaproteobacteria; Enterobacterales; Enterobacteriaceae. The record is from RNAcentral.